This 428-nucleotide ribosomal RNA is filed under the name uncultured bacterium. RNAcentral describes it as "partial 16S ribosomal RNA". It matches the Rfam family "Bacterial small subunit ribosomal RNA", at positions 354 to 796 of the family's 1533-position model. The record is from RNAcentral.
GUGGGGAAUAUUGGGCAAUGGGCGCAAGCCUGACCCAGCAACGCCGCGUGAAGGAAGAAGGCUUUCGGGUUGUAAACUUCUUUUACCAGGGACGAAACAAAUGACGGUACCUGGUGAAUAAGCCACGGCUAACUACGUGCCAGCAGCCGCGGUAAUACGUAGGUGGCGAGCGUUAUCCGGAUUUAUUGGGUGUAAAGGGCGUGUAGGCGGGACAGCAAGUCAGAUGUGAAAACCAGAGGCUCAACCUCUGGCCUGCAUUUGAAACUGUUGUUCUUGAGUGUCGGAGAGGUAAUCGGAAUUCCGUGUGUAGCGGUGAAAUGCGUAGAUAUACGGAGGAACACCAGUGGCGAAGGCGGAUUACUGGACGAUAACUGACGCUGAGGCUCGAAAGCGUGGGGAGCAAACAGGAUUAGAAACCCUGGUAGUCC